UGGCGGCAGGCUUAACACAUGCAAGUCGAGCGGUUUAAUGUACUUGUACAUUAGAUAGCGGCGGACGGGUGAGUAAUACUUAGGAAUCUACCUAUUAAUGGGGGACAACAUUUCGAAAGGGAUGCUAAUACCGCAUACGCCCUACGGGGGAAAGCAGGGGAUCUUCGGACCUUGCGUUAAUAGAUGAGCCUAAGUCGGAUUAGCUAGUUGGUGGGGUAAAGGCCUACCAAGGCGACGGUCUGUAGCGGGUCUGAGAGGAUGAUCCGCCACACUGGGACUGAGACACGGNCCAGACUCCUACGGGAGGNAGCAGUGGGGAAUAUUGGACAAUGGGGGGAACCCUGAUCCAGCCAUGCCGNGUGUGUGAAGAAGGNCUCGUGGGUGUAAAGCAC
Molecule: ribosomal RNA, 392 nt
Filed under: uncultured bacterium
Lineage: Bacteria
Description: bacterial SSU rRNA
Rfam family: Bacterial small subunit ribosomal RNA
Source: RNAcentral